RNAcentral lists this non-coding RNA (29 nucleotides) under Mus musculus (house mouse). Lineage: Eukaryota; Metazoa; Chordata; Mammalia; Rodentia; Muridae. The record is from RNAcentral.
UAUCACGUCCUCCACAGGAGCUUCCGGAU